Molecule: long non-coding RNA, 234 nt
Filed under: Homo sapiens (human)
Lineage: Eukaryota; Metazoa; Chordata; Mammalia; Primates; Hominidae
Description: HSALNT0028871
Source: RNAcentral
UCUAGUUCCUUAUGCAAAAGCACUGAGUCAGGAAACUUCAUCUGGAAUGCUGAAGUUAAAGGUGAACUUCCUGAAGUCUGCGCGUCUAAAUAUCACAAACAAAAUGGAAAUGACCUUCUAGAGCAGUUUGGUAGGGACUAGAGUAAUAUGGCUGGCUUUCAAGCUGGAAAUGAAUGAAAUCAGGGAUGCAUUUUCUGAAAAACUAAAGGAGAUAAUGUUUGUAACUGAGUGUCC